UGAGCAAUCUGCCCUUCUCAUCGGAAUAAGCGUUGGAAACGACGUCUAAUGCCGAAUACGACCUCCUUUCGCAUGAUCGGAGGUGGAAAGCUCCGGCGGAGAAGGAUGAGCUCGCGGCCUAUCAGCUUGUUGGUGAGGUAAUAGCUCACCAAGGCGAUGACGGGUAGCCGGCCUGAGAGGGUGACCGGCCACACGUGGGACUGAGACACGGCCCAGACCUCUACGGGA
This 228-nucleotide ribosomal RNA is filed under the name uncultured bacterium. Its description in RNAcentral is "partial 16S ribosomal RNA". It matches the Rfam family "Bacterial small subunit ribosomal RNA", at positions 118 to 346 of the family's 1533-position model. The record is from RNAcentral.